This 443-nucleotide ribosomal RNA is filed under the name uncultured bacterium. RNAcentral's name for it is "partial 16S ribosomal RNA". It matches the Rfam family "Bacterial small subunit ribosomal RNA", at positions 338 to 795 of the family's 1533-position model. The record is from RNAcentral.
CCUACGGGUGGCAGCAGUGGGGAAUAUUGGGCAAUGGGCGCAAGCCUGACCCAGCAACGCCGCGUGAAGGAAUAAUGCUCUCUGGUUGUUAACUUCUUUUCUUAGGGACGCAGAAAGUGACGGUGCCUCAGUCUUACGCCACGCCUAACUACGUGCCCGCGGCCGCCGUAAUACGGAGGUGGCAAGCGUUGUCCGGAUUUAUUGGGUGUAAAGGGCGUGUAGGCGGGAAAGUAAGGCAGAUGGGAAAACUCAGGGCUCAACCCUGAGCCUGCAGUUGAAACUGUGGUUCUUGAGUGCGGGAGAGGCAAUCGGAAUGCCGGGUGUAGCGGUGAAAUGCAUAGAUAUACGGAGGAACACCAGUGGCGAAGGCGGAUUGCUGGAGAGUAACUGACGCUGAGGCGCGAAAGCGUGGGGAGCAAACAGGAUUAGAUACCCGGGUAGUC